UACGUAGGGUGCAAGCGUUGUCCGGAAUUAUUGGGCGUAAAGAGCUCGUAGGCGGUUUGUCGCAUCUGCUGUGAAAACGCGAGGCUCAACCUCGCGCCUGCAGUGGGUACGGGCAGACUAGAGUGCGGUAGGGGAGAUUGGAAUUCCUGGUGUAGCGGUGGAAUGCGCAGAUAUCAGGAGGAACACCGAUGGCGAAGGCAAAUCUCUGGGCCGUAACUGACGCUGAGGAGCGAAAGCAUGGGGAGCGAACAGG
RNAcentral lists this ribosomal RNA (253 nucleotides) under uncultured bacterium. RNAcentral describes it as "partial 16S ribosomal RNA". It matches the Rfam family "Bacterial small subunit ribosomal RNA", at positions 524 to 776 of the family's 1533-position model. The record is from RNAcentral.